CGGGACGGGUGAGUAAUGUCUGGGAAACUGCCUGAUGGAGGGGGAUAACUACUGGAAACGGUAGCUAAUACCGCAUAACGUCGCAAGACCAAAGAGGGGGACCUUAGGGCCUCUUGCCAUCGGAUGUGCCCAGAUGGGAUUAGCUAGUAGGUGGGGUAACGGCUCACCUAGGCGACGAUCCCUAGCUGGUCUGAGAGGAUGACCAGCCGCACUGGAACUGAGACACGGUCCAG
This 233-nucleotide ribosomal RNA is filed under the name uncultured bacterium. Its description in RNAcentral is "partial 16S ribosomal RNA". It matches the Rfam family "Bacterial small subunit ribosomal RNA", at positions 100 to 334 of the family's 1533-position model. The record is from RNAcentral.